This 430-nucleotide ribosomal RNA is filed under the name uncultured bacterium. Its description in RNAcentral is "bacterial SSU rRNA". It matches the Rfam family "Bacterial small subunit ribosomal RNA", at positions 958 to 1392 of the family's 1533-position model. The record is from RNAcentral.
AACGCGAAGAACCUUACCUACCCUUGACAUGUACGGAAGCCUCCAGAGAUGGGGGUGUGCCCGAAAGGGAGCCGUAACACAGGUGCUGCAUGGCUGUCGUCAGCUCGUGUCGUGAGAUGUUGGGUUAAGUCCCGCAACGAGCGCAACCCUUGUCCCUAGUUGCUACGCAAGGGCACUCUAGGGAGACUGCCGGUGACAAACCGGAGGAAGGUGGGGAUGACGUCAAGUCCUCAUGGCCCUUAUGGGUAGGGCUUCACACGUCAUACAAUGGCCGGUACAGAGGGUUGCCAAAGCGCGAGCUGGAGCCAAUCCCAGAAAGCCGGUCGUAGUCCGGAUUGCAGUCUGCAACUCGACUGCAUGAAGCCGGAAUCGCUAGUAAUCGCGGAUCAGCAUGUCGCGGUGAAUACGUUCCCGGGUCUUGUACACACCG